UCCAGACUCCUACGGGAGGCAGUAGUGGGGGAUACUGCACAAUGGGGGGAACCCUGAUGCAGCGACGCCGCGUGGGCGAAGAAGUAUUUCGGUAUGUAAAGCCCUAUCAGCAGGGAAGAAGAAAUGACGGUACCUGAGUAAGAAGCACCGGCUAAAUACGUGCAAGCAGCCGCGGUAAUACGUAUGGUGCAAGCGUUAUCCGGAUUUACUGGGUGUAAAGGGAGCGCAGGCGGCACGGCAAGCCUGAUGUGAAAGCCCGCGGCCCAACCGCGGGACUGCAUUGGGAACUACCGGGCUGGAGUGCCGGAGAGGUAGGCGGAAUUCCUAGUGUAGCGGUGAAAUGCGUAGAUAUUAGGAGGAACACCAGUGGCGAAGGCGGCUUUCUGGACUGUAACUGACACUGAGGUACGAAAGCGUGGGGAGCAAACAGGAUUAGAUCCCCCAGUA
Molecule: ribosomal RNA, 447 nt
Filed under: uncultured bacterium
Lineage: Bacteria
Description: bacterial SSU rRNA
Rfam family: Bacterial small subunit ribosomal RNA
Source: RNAcentral